CACGGAGUUAGCCGGUGCUUAUUCGUAUAGUACCUUCAGCUUUCCACACGUGGAAAGGUUUAUCCCUAUACAAAAGAGGUUUACAACCCAUAGGGCCGUCGUCCUUCACGCGGGAUGGCUGGAUCAGGCUCUCACCCAUUGUCCAAUAUUCCUCACUGCUGCCUCCCGUAGGAGUCUGGUCCGUGUCUCAGUACCAGUGUGGGGGAUCACCCUCUCAGGCCCCCUAAAGAUCACUGACUUGGUAGGCCGUUACCCUACCAACUAUCUAAUCUUGCGCGUGCCCAUCUCUAUCCACCGGAGUUUUCAAUAAUAAGUGAUGCCACUCAUUAUAUUAUGGGGUAUUAAUCUUCCUUUCGAAGGCUAUCCCCCUGAUAAGGCAGGUUGCACACGUGUUCCGCACCCGUACGCCGCUCUCAAAGAUCCGAAGAUCUUCUACCGCUCGGCUUGCAUGUGUUAGGCCUCCCGCUACGCGUUCACUCCUGAGCAGGAUCAAACUCUC
RNAcentral lists this ribosomal RNA (499 nucleotides) under uncultured Chryseobacterium sp. RNAcentral's name for it is "partial 16S ribosomal RNA". The record is from RNAcentral. Lineage: Bacteria; Pseudomonadati; Bacteroidota; Flavobacteriia; Flavobacteriales; Weeksellaceae.